AGGACGAACGCUGGCGGCGCGCUUAACACAUGCAAGUCGAGCGAGAACCAGUCCUUCGGGACUGGGGACAGCGGCGAACGGGUGAGUAACACGUGGGUAAUCUGCCCUCGAUUCUGGGAUAGCCCGGGGAAAACCCGGAUUAAUACCGGAUAGCCUCUCGAGCUUACGAGCUCUUGAGAAAAGGUAGCUUCGGCCUCGAUCGAGGAUGAGCCCGCGGCGGAUUAGCUUGUUGGUGGGGUAAUGGCCUACCAAGGCUUCGAUCGGUA
Molecule: ribosomal RNA, 266 nt
Filed under: uncultured bacterium
Lineage: Bacteria
Description: partial small subunit ribosomal RNA
Rfam family: Bacterial small subunit ribosomal RNA
Source: RNAcentral